Dunckerocampus dactyliophorus (ringed pipefish) is the source of this 607-nucleotide long non-coding RNA. RefSeq lists it as uncharacterized. The transcript is spliced from 3 exons. The record is from RefSeq and is a predicted model, not a curated record. NCBI's taxonomy places the organism in Eukaryota, Metazoa, Chordata, Actinopteri, Syngnathiformes, Syngnathidae.
AAAUGCUGUUCAACUCAGAUUGAUUGGUAACAAAAUACUGGACACGUUUGUUAUGGAAUACUUUCUAACACGCUUCUGCCUUGGAGACUAUGUGUCUUCUGGCACGUAGGCCGACAUGCUCCCCAGGCCCCGUGGCCUCACACACCUGCCUCCGCUCUACAGCAGAGUCGUCUUUCAGCAAUGAGGCAACCUUCCACCAAUCAGGUGCAGUGAGAACGGUUACGGAGCGUGGUGAGAACUCUCACUACUGUCUUUUACCUGGGAAACAGUGCUGCCUUAGGGAGGGGCUUGACUCGCAGGCCACUCUCUGAAUGAGGGCCAAACAAAAAGUCUCACCACCAGGUUUGAAAAAAAGAAUGCAAACAAGGGAGAAACAAAACAGUCGAGUGUGGGAACUUUUUCCUGUUCCUUUUUUCUUCUUCCAGGAGCUUUUAUCAGUAUUAACUCUGCUUACACAGGUAUUUGUGCACCUGUGGCGGUGGAUUAGUGGAUCACGUUCUUCAUUGUUUGACAAAAUAAGCAUUGUGAGCUACUCUCAGCAAAAAUAUAAAUUCAACACUUUUGUUUUUGCUCCUAUCUUUCAAGAGCUGAAUUGACAAGAUGUAAA